This 207-nucleotide ribosomal RNA is filed under the name uncultured bacterium. Its description in RNAcentral is "partial 16S ribosomal RNA". It matches the Rfam family "Bacterial small subunit ribosomal RNA", at positions 338 to 568 of the family's 1533-position model. The record is from RNAcentral.
CCUACGGGAGGCAGCAGUGGGGAAUCUUGCGCAAUGGGCGAAAGCCGACGCAGCCAUGCCGCGUGGAGAUGAAGGUCUUAGGAUUGUAAUCCUUUCACCGGUGAAGAUAAUGACUGUAGCCGGAGAAGAAGCCCCGGCUAACUUCGUGCCGCAGCCGCGGUAAUACGAAGGGGGCUAGCGUGCUCGGAAUUACUGGGCGUAAAGGGA